CAAGCAUGAGGCCCUGAGUUCAAACCCUGCCCCCCUCAAAACAAAACAGAUAGCCGAACUUCACAUCACGAAGCAUUAGAUACUGACUGUAAUAUUUUAAAAACUCUAAAAAUAUUGUAGCAGGGACUUUUAGCAUAUGUUCAAAUAUUCUGUUCAAGCUAGAAAUUUGAGUCACCGAGCCUUGCUUUCAUGUGUGCUGUGGCUCCAAGUUCUUGGCAGCAGCCUGUGGGGGGCUCAGAGGUGGGGGCCACAGUGGGGGUGCCCACAAGCCAUGUGAGGGCAACCUUGGAUCUGACA
This 297-nucleotide small nucleolar RNA is filed under the name Castor canadensis (American beaver). Lineage: Eukaryota; Metazoa; Chordata; Mammalia; Rodentia; Castoridae. The record is from RNAcentral.